GCUGUGAGCUCGAUGAGUAGGGCGGGACACGUGGUAUCCUGUCUGAAUAUGGGGGGACCAUCCUCCAAGGCUAAAUACUCCUGACUGACCGAUAGUGAACCAGUACCGUGAGGGAAAGGCGAAAAGAACCCCGGCGAGGGGAGUGAAAAAGAACCUGAAACCGUGUACGUACAAGCAGUGGGAGCACAGAGCAAUCUGUGUGACUGCGUACCUUUUGUAUAAUGGGUCAGCGACUUAUAUUCUGUAGCAAGGUUAACCGAAUAGGGGAGCCGAAGGGAAACCGAGUCUUAACUGGGCGUUAAGUUGCAGGGUAUAGACCCGAAACCCGGUGAUCUAGCCAUGGGCAGGUUGAAGGUUGGGUAACACUAACUGGAGGACCGAACCGACUAAUGUUGAAAAAUUAGCGGAUGACUUGUGGCUGGGGGUGAAAGGCCAAUCAAACCGGGAGAUAGCUGGUUCUCCCCGAAAGCUAUUUAGGUAGCGCCUCGUGAAUUCAUCUCCGGGGGUAGAGCACUGUUUCGGCAAGGGGGUCAUCCCGACUUACCAACCCGAUGCAAACUGCGAAUACCGGAGAAUGUUAUCACGGGAGACACACGGCGGGUGCUAACGUCCGUCGUGAAGAGGGAAACAACCCAGACCGCCAGCUAAGGUCCCAAAGUCAUGGUUAAGUGGGAAACGAUGUGGGAAGGCCCAGACAGCCAGGAUGUUGGCUUAGAAGCAGCCAUCAUUUAAAGAAAGCGUAAUAGCUCACUGGUCGAGUCGGCCUGCGCGGAAGAUGUAACGGGGCUAAACCAUG
Molecule: ribosomal RNA, 796 nt
Filed under: Escherichia coli
Lineage: Bacteria; Pseudomonadati; Pseudomonadota; Gammaproteobacteria; Enterobacterales; Enterobacteriaceae
Description: partial 23S ribosomal RNA
Rfam family: Bacterial large subunit ribosomal RNA
Source: RNAcentral